Molecule: ribosomal RNA, 406 nt
Filed under: uncultured bacterium
Lineage: Bacteria
Description: partial 16S ribosomal RNA
Rfam family: Bacterial small subunit ribosomal RNA
Source: RNAcentral
AUUGAACGCUGGCGGCAGGCCUAACACAUGCAAGUCGAACGAGUGGCGGACGGGUGAGUAAUGUCUGGGAAACUGCCUGAUGGAGGGGGAUAACUACUGGAAACGGUAGCUAAUACCGCAUACCAUCGGAUGUGCCCAGAUGGGAUUAGCUAGUAGGUGGGGUAAAGGCGCACCUAGGCGACGAUCCCUAGCUGGUCUUAGAGGAUGACCAGCCACACGGGAACGGAGACACGGUCAAGACUCCGACGGGAGGAAGCAGGGGGGAAUAUUGCACAAUGGGCGAAAGCCUGAUGCAGCCAGGCCGCGUUGAUGAAGAAGGCCUUCGGGUUGUAAAGGACUUGCAGCGGGGAGGCGGUACCCGCAGAAGAAGCACCGGCUAACUCCGUGCCAGCAGCCGCGGUAAUUC